GCAUUGGUGGUUCAGUAAGAAUUCUUGCCUUCCACAUAGGAGACCAGGGUUCAGUUCCCAGCCAGUGCA
RNAcentral lists this transfer RNA (69 nucleotides) under Loxodonta africana (African savanna elephant). It matches the Rfam family "tRNA". From Rfam's summary of the family: Transfer RNA (tRNA) molecules are approximately 80 nucleotides in length. Lineage: Eukaryota; Metazoa; Chordata; Mammalia; Proboscidea; Elephantidae. The record is from Rfam by way of RNAcentral.